Molecule: ribosomal RNA, 1346 nt
Filed under: uncultured bacterium
Lineage: Bacteria
Description: partial 16S ribosomal RNA
Rfam family: Bacterial small subunit ribosomal RNA
Source: RNAcentral
GACGAACGCUAGCGGCGUGCUUAACACAUGCAAGUCGAACGGAAAGGCCCUGCUUUUGUGGGGUGCUCGAGUGGCGAACGGGUGAGUAACACGUGAGUAACCUGCCCUUGACUUUGGGAUAACUUCAGGAAACUGGGGCUAAUACCGGAUAGGAGCUCCUGCUGCAUGGUGGGGGUUGGAAAGUUUCGGCGGUUGGGGAUGGACUCGCGGCUUAUCAGCUUGUUGGUGGGGUAGUGGCUUACCAAGGCUUUGACGGGUAGCCGGCCUGAGAGGGUGACCGGCCACAUUGGGACUGAGAUACGGCCCAGACUCCUACGGGAGGCAGCAGUGGGGAAUAUUGCACAAUGGGCGGAAGCCUGAUGCAGCAACGCCGCGUGCGGGAUGACGGCCUUCGGGUUGUAAACCGCUUUCGCCUGUGACGAAGCGUGAGUGACGGUAAUGGGUAAAGAAGCACCGGCUAACUACGUGCCAGCAGCCGCGGUGAUACGUAGGGUGCGAGCGUUGUCCGGAUUUAUUGGGCGUAAAGGGCUCGUAGGUGGUUGAUCGCGUCGGAAGUGUAAUCUUGGGGCUUAACCCUGAGCGUGCUUUCGAUACGGGUUGACUUGAGGAAGGUAGGGGAGAAUGGAAUUCCUGGUGGAGCGGUGGAAUGCGCAGAUAUCAGGAGGAACACCAGUGGCGAAGGCGGUUCUCUGGGCCUUUCCUGACGCUGAGGAGCGAAAGCGUGGGGAGCGAACAGGCUUAGAUACCCUGGUAGUCCACGCUGUAAACGGUGGGUACUAGGUGUGGGGUCCAUUCCACGGGUUCCGUGCCGUAGCUAACGCUUUAAGUACCCCGCCUGGGGAGUACGGCCGCAAGGCUAAAACUCAAAGGAAUUGACGGGGCCCCGCACAAGCGGCGGAGCAUGCGGAUUAAUUCGAUGCAACGCGUAGAACCUUACCUGGGUUUGACAUGGAUCGGGAGUGCUCAGAGAUGGGUGUGCCUCUUUUGGGGUCGGUUCACAGGUGGUGCAUGGCUGUCGUCAGCUCGUGUCGUGAGAUGUUGGGUUAAGUCCCGCAACGAGCGCAACCCUUGUUCACUGUUGCCAGCACGUUAUGGUGGGGACUCAGUGGAGACCGCCGGGGUCAACUCGGAGGAAGGUGGGGAUGACGUCAAGCCAUCAUGCCCCUUAUGUCCAGGGCUUCACGCAUGCUACAAUGGCUGGUACAGAGAGUGGCGAGCCUGUGAGGGUGAGCGAAUCUCGGAAAGCCGGUCUCAGUUCGGAUUGGGGUCUGCAACUCGACCUCAUGAAGUCGGAGUCGCUAGUAAUCGCAGAUCAGCAACGCUGCGGUGAAUACGUUCCCGGGGCU